UACAGAGGCCUCGAGCGUUGUUCGGAAUUACUGGGCGUAAAGGGAAUGUAGGUGGUCAUGUAAGUCAGAUGUGAAAGCCCUAGGCUUAACCUGGAAAGUGCAUUUGAUACUGCGUGGCUGGAGUGCGAGAGAGGAAAGCGGAAUUCCUGGUGUAGGAGUGAAAUCCGUAGAUAUCAGGAGGAAUACCGAUGGCGAAGGCAGCUUUCUGGCUCGUAACUGACACUGAGAUUCGAAAGCUUGGGUAGCAAACAGG
RNAcentral lists this ribosomal RNA (253 nucleotides) under uncultured bacterium. RNAcentral's name for it is "partial 16S ribosomal RNA". It matches the Rfam family "Bacterial small subunit ribosomal RNA", at positions 524 to 776 of the family's 1533-position model. The record is from RNAcentral.